This 13945-nucleotide long non-coding RNA is filed under the name Amborella trichopoda. Its description in RNAcentral is "long non-coding RNA (ATRI_LNC001741)". Lineage: Eukaryota; Viridiplantae; Streptophyta; Magnoliopsida; Amborellales; Amborellaceae. The record is from RNAcentral.
UCUAAACCAACGUUCCUCCCUCGUCAUCUCUAGAGAAAGAGAGAGAAAAGCUUCAUGAAAUACCGGCCAGAAAUACAGUCAGAAGGUUAAUCAACAAAUAUUCAAACAUGAAACGAAAUUUUAAUAUUCACUUAUUUUUAUAAGAUAAUGAAAAUUCAUAAUGCAUCUGUAAUACUAACAUUCUUGGGGUGUGACAGUCUAUCUUUAACAAAACCAAAAUUUCUUUUACAUAUUGUACAAGACUGUCAGAUUUUUCAUUCAAAAAUUUUAAAUUUGUACAAAGUCUACUUACAACUUAUAUUAACAUGAAUGUUCAUUUAUAUACAUCUUUGAUAGGACAAAAGUUACAAAUGUAAGUUUAACUGUGACUACAAACUUCUUCAUAGCUACUUCUGUUGUACUUUCAAACAAUAAGGCUGCAAUUUAUUCUGAAAAUAAUUCACAAGAGUUUGAUGAAUUUGGCUACUCAGUAAGUUACCAUUAUAAUCCUUAAAAAUAAUCAUGGUUGAUAAAUGUAGAUAUUUUCUAAAAAAAUGCAUAUUAAAAUAAUACGAGGAAAACCAUACAAUGAGAACUAUUUCGAAUUUUUCAAUUGAAAUAUGUAGUUUUAACAUAAUUUCAAAGAUUUGAAUACAUAUUGAAUAAUACGAAAAAUAAUAUUAUUUUUAUGAGAAUAUUAUGAGAGAAAUAAUUAUUUGUUAUGAGAGAAAGAGCAUGAGAAGAGAGAGAGACAAAAUCGUUAAGAGAGAGAAUAAUGACUUACAUAGGGAGGAGAGAGAAAGACCAAUUGUGAUGGGCUAAUGAUGGGCCUAUGAGGGAUAUUUGUAAGUGAAGAUGACCAAUCUUCAUUUGACACUUGUCAAACAUGUAUCUUUUUUUUUACUUACAUAUGUGCCAUCGUAUGACACAUUAUUAUCUUAUAACAAUACUUUAUGACACAUCAUCCUCUUAUAAUGUCACCUUAUAACACAUCACUAUCUUACAAUGACGCAUCAUCCUCUUAUAAUGCCAUCUUAUGACACAUCAUUUUAUGUUUAAAUAUAUUAACUUAAUUAAAACAAACGUGAAAAGGGAAAGUUUAGGGUGGUCCCAUGGUGUAUUCAUAACAUAGUGAACUAUCAUUCAAAAUUAUAAAUAUUUUAUAUUUUUAUUAUUAUUUUUCAGUUUCAAAUAUAUUUAGGAUCAUCACAUUCUCCCCCCCCUUAAAAAAAUUUAGUCCUCUAAAUUUUUGUACCUGAUUACUGAAAAAGAUGGGGAUAUUUCUCAUUGAUUUCAUUUUCUUGUUCCCAAGUGGCUUCUUCUAAGGAAUGAUGUUGCCACAAAAUUUUUAUUAAUGAUAUCACCUUGGAUCUCAACACUUGCUCUUUUCAAUCGAGAAUUUGAAUGGGUUGCUCGGCGUAUGUUAAGUUAUCUCUAAUUUGGAGAGGUUCAUGGUUAAUGAUGUAUGACGGGUCAAACUCAUAUCUUCGUAACAUUGACACAUGAAACGCAUAAUCAGUGUUUGAUAAUUCAGGGGGCAAGGCAAUUAUAUAUGCCAUCUCUCCAAUCCUUUCUAAGAUUUCAAAAUGUCCAAUAAACCUUGGGCUUAAUUUUCCCUUUUUUCCAAAUCUCAUUAUAUCCUUGGAAGGAGAUACCUUCAUAAAUACAUGGUUUCCCACUUGAUAUUCCAAGUUUCUUCGAUGCUUAUCUGUAUAAUUUUUCUGUCUAAUUUGAGCACUUUAAAGUCUUUUCCGAAUGAGCUUAAUCUUAUUGGUAGUUUCUUGAACAAACUCUGGUCCCAUAAAUUUUAUUUCCCCUUCAUCAUCCCAACAGAUAGUUGAUCUACACUUUCUUCCAUAUCUUCCGUAUAAUGCCUCAUAUGGUGCCAUUUUCAUACUAGACUGAUAGCUAUUAUUGUAGGCAAAUUCGAUCAAAGGCAAAUGAUCAUCCCAAUUUCUUUUAAAAUCCAUCACACAAGCUCGAAGUAUAUCUUCUAAAGUCUGAAUUGUUCUUUUUUAUUGUCCAUCAGCUUGAGGAUGAAAUGCCGUACUAAAAUUUACCUUCGUACUCAUGGUUUUUUUGUAAACUUUUCCAAAAUUGAGUGGUAAAUUGGGGAUCUCUAUCAGACACAGUUGUUAUUGGGGUCCCAUACAAUUUCACAAUUUAUCGAAUAUAUAGUCUUGCCAGGUUAUCUAAUGAACCUGUUACUCUGAUGGCUAGAAAAUGAGCAAAUUUGGUUAGUCUAUCCACAAUUACCCAAAUUGGAUUGUGACUAUUCUUUGUUUUGGGUAGGCCUGUAACAAAAUCCAUAGUUAUGUGCUCCUAUUUCCAGUCAGGAAUGGGUAAGGAUUAUAAAAUACCUACAGGUUUUUGGUGGUCUGCCUUAAUUUGUUGGCACACCAGGCACUUACACACAAAUUCAACAAUCUCUUUUUUCAUAUUGUUCCACCAAUAAUGGCUUCAUAGAUUCUGAUACAUUUUAUUACUACUAGGACACACAACAUAUCGAGAUCGAUGAGCUUCAUCCAAAAUCUCCCUUUUAAAAUUUUCAUUAUUUGGAACUUAAAGUCUCCAUCUGAAUCUUAAUAUGCCAGCUUGUUGGAUUUCAAAAAUCUGGUAUUGACCCUUUGGUUAAUUUUUCCAUGAUUGCUACCAUCUGAGUGUCGCUUAUUUGUGCCUCUCUAAUUCUCAGAAUAAGAGUUGGCUUUACACAUAAAUUAGCAACAAUGGUGUCGGAAUCCUUUAAAUGAAAUUCUGAGUUCCAAUCUUUAAUUUCUUCCAGUAGUCGCCACUCUUUAAUCAUUAGAUGAGCUAGAACUUCUGCAGACUUCCUACUUAGAGUAUCUGCUACAACAUUAGCUUUACCUGAAUGGUAAUGGAUUGUACAAUCAUAUUCUUUUAGAAAAUCCAUUCAUCUUACCUGUCGUAUAUUUAAAUCUUUCUGAGAAAAGAGGUAUGUCAAACUCUUAUGAUCUGUAUAUAUUUCAAAUUGUUCACCAUAUAGAUAAUGUGUCUAUAUCUUCAAAGCAAAUACUAUUGGAGCUAGUUCUAAGUCAUGGGUUGGGUACCUCUUCUCAUAUUCUUUCAAUUGUCUAAAUGCAUAUGCCACUACCUUAACAUGUUGCAUUAAUAUAUAGCCUAAGCCUUUGUGUGAAUCAUCACUGUAAAUCUUGAAUCCCUCGCAAGAAUAGUUAAAAUAGAUGCAAAAGUCAAUCGAGCUUUUAAUUCUUGAAAUUUUUUUCUCACAUUCAUUUGUCCAUUCAAAAUUGACAUUUUUUUAUGUCAAUCGAAUUAAUGGAUUCACAAUUCGAGAGAAUCCUUCUACAAAUCUUCUGUAAUAUCAUGUCAGCCCUAAAAAGCUUCGGACUUCAGUCACAUUACUUGGUUGCUUCCAAUUAAUCACAGCUUCAACCUUUAAAGGAUCAACAGAUAAACCUUCCUUUGAUAUCACAUGACCUAAAAAUGUCACUUGUUCUAACCAAAUUCACAUGUACUUAGUUUGUCAUACAACUUAUUUUCUCUUAGUAUUUGUAAUAUCGUCUUCACAUGUUGCUCGUGCUCUUCCCGAUUCUUGGAAUAAAUUAGAAUAUCGUCAAUGAAUACUACAACAAACUAAUCCAAAAAGGGCUUAAAGAUUUGAUUCAUCAAAUUUAUAAAUGCAACUCGUAUAUUGGUUAAUCCAAAAGGCAUAACUAACAAUUCAUAAUGGCCAUAUCUUGUCCUGAAAAUUGUUUUGGAAACAUCAUCACUUAUAAUUUUAAGCUGAUGGUACUCAGAUCUGAGAUCAUUUUUUUAAAAUACUUGUGAUCCUUGUAAUUGAUCAAAUAAAUCAUCAAUUGUAGGUAGUGGAUACUUGUUUUUCACAAUUACCUGGUUUAGCUGUCUGUAGUCAAUACACAACCUAAUGGACCCAUCUUUCUUUUUAACGAACAAUACCGGAGCACCCCAAGGUGACACACUAGGUCGAAUAAAAACAUUUAUCUAAUAAUUCUUACAAUUGUUAUCUAAGUUCCUUAAAUUCUAUAGGUGCCAUUCGGUAAAAGGCUUUAGAUAUUGGGGCUGUCCCGGGAAGCAACUCAAUAGAGAAUUCAAUUUCCUUGUUAAGUGGUAAACCUGACAAUUCUCAGGAAACACAUCAGGAAAUUCCCGAAGAACCGGAAUGUCAUCCAAGUUCAUCUUUUCUUUUCUAUCUUCUUUAACAUAGGCAAGAAAGCCUUGACAUCACCUUCGAAGGAAGUGGUUAGCCUGAAUGGAGGAAAUUAAAUAUAGUGGGGAAGCUUCCUUGACACCUUCCAAGUAAAAUACCAAUUGAUUUGGAAUGCAAAAGGUAACUAUUUUCUUGUAACAAUCAACACUUACAUGGUAGGCAAAGAAUCAAUCUAUGUCUAAGAUUACAUCAAAAUCUUGAAUUUCUAAAAGUACUAAAUCCACCAAUAGUUUCUUUUAUUCUAUCAUUAUUACAUAAGAUUUGUAUAUUAAAUUGGUUACAAUUGAAUUUCCCAUACGUGUGGCUACCUCUAAAAUGUAUUCCAAUUGUUCUAGUUCUACUUUUAAGUGGCAUGUACAUCUUGGUGGCAUAAAUGAAUGAGUAGAUCCAAGAUCAAUUAAAACAUAAGCUAUAUCUUGAAAGAUAGUAAGAGUACAUUGAAUCACUGAUUUUGAAGCUUGGGCAUCCUGCUAUGUGAUUGCAAAUACUCAUCCUUUCAUUUGGGGUUUGUGAGUUGCUUCACCAUGCUUUGAAUGUUGUUGCAUUUGCAUAAUAGGACAAUAUUUGAUCUUGUGCCCCAGCUCCCCACAUUUGAAACAGGCUCCAGUCUUCUAAUAACAGAGUGUUAACCCAUGCUUCUUCCCACAUUUCUUACAAGGUUCCGGUAGGCUUUGGAGUGACUUCAGUCUUAGCCUUUUGUUUGCCCUUUCUGAUUCUUUUCAUUUUUGUCAAUUAGAUGGUAUGGGUCUAAUCCGACUUUUCUGGUUUUUCCUCUUUUGGAAGUCUUCGCAGUCUUUCUCAAUAAUUUGGGCUCGAUCCACUAUCUCAGCAUAAGUUCUUAAUUUUAGGGUUGAUAUUCUCCCUCUGAUGAUUGGUCUGAGGCCACUUUCAAAAUUUUUUACCUUUCUUGUCUUAUAAUUGAUCAUAUGUAGGGCAAACCUGGCCAAUUCAGUAAACUUGGCCUCAUACUAUGCUAUUGUUUUGUUCCCUUAGACUAGUUUUAGAAAUUCUAUUUUUUUUUAAUCUCGAAUAAAAUCUGGAAAUUACUUUUCAUUGAAUGUUUCUCAAAAUUUUGUUCCCAAGUCAAAGGUUUGUUUUCGAGGACCAAUACUCUUUUUGUUAUCUGCCACCAAUGUUCUGCUUCACCUUCCAACAUAAAAACUGCCAAGGUGACAUUCUUAACAUCAAGACAUUCUAUUACUUCAAAUAUUUUCUCUAAUUGCAUAAUCCAUCCAUCGGCUUCUAAUGGAUCGGCAGCACCCUUAAAGGUAGGUGGAUUUAAUUUCUUAAAUAAUUUGAUAUUAUACCCAUUAUUUCCCGUAACUGACUGUCUUGGUGGAUUAUUGUUCUCCCUUUGGUGCUGCAUAAGAGCAAUCAUAUUCUUCAAGGCUUUAUAAAUUCCCUCCAUGCUAGCUUUAGUCAUUCGGGAUCUUGACAUUGUACUUGUCUGUUCAUACAAUAAGUGUUAUAAUCUUCAAACUACUGCAAAGAAUUCUAUUAAAUUGAUUAAUCAAGAUAUACAAGACUCUGUAUAAAUAUAUGGCCAAGUAAUAUGUAUCCAUAUAGAAGGAUAUGCAUACUGAUAUGUAUCAGUAUGAUACAUAUCAUACAUAGAUACCACACCUAAUUUUAUCAAGAGAUAUGUAUCCAUACAAAUAAAUAUCCAUACUGAACGAUAUAAGCAGUAGUCUUCAUGCUCAUAUUGCUUGAACAACAAGCACAGAAAGAGGCAAACCUCAGGAACAGACGGCCUCAGGAACAUCUGAGAUCUCCGGAAUUGAGUAACGAAAAAUUCCAUCAACAACAGACAAACAGGUCUUCGGAAUUUUUGGGAUCGAGUAACGAAAAACUCGAUCAAUAGACAAGAUCGAAUAACGAAAAACACGAUCAUCAAACAUGAUCGAGUAAAGAAAAAUAUGAUCAUCAAACAAGAUCGAGUAACGGAAAACUCGAUCAUCUGAAAAGAUCAGGGUGGCUGAUGAGAGUUCAGACAAAUCACUCUGAGAUCAAGAUCUAGAGGCAAAACAAAGAGAGGGGCAAUUUUCCAAAUAGAGCAGAUCGAUCGUUUUCGUUGAUCAUUUUUCAGAGGUGAAUUUUACAAAUUAGCAAUCCUCAGAAACCGACGCCUCGAACAGAGCAGUCUCGCAUAACUCCAAAUCAAUAGGUCUCCGGAACAGACAAGAUUGAGUAACAAAGAAAAACUCGAUCAUCACACAGGAUGAAGUAACGGAAAACUCCAUCAUCUCAUUGGACUGAGUAAAAACAAAAACUCAAUCAUUAAACAUGAUCAAGUAAUGGAAACUUGAUCAUCAACCAGGAUCAAGAAAUUCGAUUAUCAAACAUGAGGCACUUAGGAGAGCCAAUAGAAGUCAGCAGCGGAUCAACAAAAACAGUUGGAUUUUAGAUUCAGAGUUAAGAAUAGUAAGAUCCCAAAUCGAUCAAAGAGUCGAAAUACAACUCGGUAAAGAGACAAAUUAGAGGGACCACAACAACAAUGGUUUACUUUUCAUAAAAUAGUAAAGAAUCUAGAGGUGUACUUGCUCAAAGAGCACUAUUUGCACGUGUAGAAUGAAAGAGAGGAUGCCCAACAAAAGAAAGAAUUUGCCCAAAUGAAGAGGCUUCCAUCUAUCAAAUGAAGGCAGGCUUUUUGGAGUAAUAAGAAACUUAGAGUUGCACUUUUUUCCCAAUAAAGUACGAAGUAGAGAGAGAGGGAAGCAGAGCCUUUUGUGCAUAAUAUGCAAUUUCCUCUUAGGGAAGAGAACUUCUUAUGGAUAGAAACAUUGUGAUGUAUCUCUUGUAGACUCCUAGAGAUUGAGAGGCUUGUUUUUGGAGAUUGAGAGGUUUGAUCCUGGAGAUUGAGGGGAUUGUUUCUUAUAAAGAAGCAAUUCCCAUUGAGAUUUUGGGUGGUUUCCCCUUUUAGUUAGAGAGAAAGUUAGUUUCUCGUUGAUCCCGCGUUUCUAUCUGGUGUUAUCUUCGUUGAUCCCGCGUCUCUAUCUGGUGUUAUCGGUAAUGGUUGCCAGAAGUAAAGAAACGGAAGGGGGAGUGGUUUAAAAGGGGUUUGCUUGACUCGAUUUUUGUCGAGGUUAGAGAAUUAACUCUUUGUUCCAAAAUCUUUGAUGUAACUUUCAUUGGUAUAGUGGAUUUCAGUUUGCUAUGUCCAUGGAUGUAGUUACAUCUGUGACGAACCACGUAAAAACAAUUGUUAUGAUUUUUUGACUACUACAGAGAACUCUAUUAAAUUGAUUAAUCAAGAAUAUAAAAGACUCCGUAUAAAUAUACAAACAAGAGAUAUGUAUCAAUACAGAUGGAUAUUCAUACUGAUAUGCAUCAGUAUGAUAAAUAUCAUACAUAGACACCACCUAAUCUUAUCAAGAGAUAUAUAUCCAUACAGAUACAUAUCGAUACUGAUACGUAUCAGUAUGAUACAUAUCCAUAUACAUACAUUAACAAUAAGUAUGACUUAGAGUAUAUUCCUAUUCAAAUUUCCUAGGAAUCCUAAACCUAUUGCUUUGAUACCAAAAUUGUCACACCCCAGGUUCGGUAAUACUAACAUUCUUGAGGUGUGACAGUCUAUCCUUAACAAAAUCGAAUUUUCUUUUAUAUAUUGCACAAGAUUGUUUGAUUUUCCAUUUAAAAAACUUUCAAAUUUGUACAAAGUCUACUUACAACUUAUAUUAACACAAAUAUCCAUUUAUAUACAUCUUUGAUAAGACAAAAGUUACAAAUGUAAGUUUAACUGUGACUACAAAGUUCUCCAUAGCUACUUCUGUUGUACUUUCGAAUAUUAAGGCUGCAAUUUAUUAUGAAAAGAAUUCACAUUAGUUUGAUGAGUUUGACUACUCAAUAAGUGGCCAUCAUAAUGCUUAAAAGCAAGCAUGGUUGACAAAUAUAGAUAUUUUCUGAAAGAAUGCAUAUUGAAAUAAUAUGAAGAAAAGCAGUCAAUGAGAACUAUUUCGAAUUCUUCAACAGAAAUAUACAGUUUUAAUAUAAUUUCAAAGAUUUGAAUAUAUAUUGAACAAUAUGAAGAAGAACACAAUUUAAAAUAAUUCAAAAGUUUUUUAAAUACCGUACUAGCGUCUCAAGUAGGUCACCUAUGUACCCCUCCAGCGUCCUGAAUUGAUCCACUUAAUCCUUACUGACGUACCAGAUAGGUCUACUUAUAUCUCACAGGCAUCCCAGAUGAGUUCACUUAUUCCCUACUGGUGUACCAGAUAGGUCCACUUAUAUCUCACCGACAUACCGGAUGAGUCCACUUAUUCCUUACCGGCGUACCAGAUAGGUCCACUAAGAACUCACCGGCAUACCGGAUGAGUCCACUUAUUCCCUAACGAUGUAUCAGAUAAGUCCACUUGUAUAUUUAAAAUAACGAUGAAACUCUUUAUCACUAAAUAUCAGGAAACAAUAAUAUCGUAUAUUCAAAAUAUUCUUGAAAUCAUUAACAUGAAUUCACAUGAAGCAAUAUAGAGCAAUCACUUUCACUGAUAUUUAUAUAAAUAACCAGUCAAAUAUUUGGGGCUAAAUUUCUUAAAUGUAGUUUCAGAAAGGUUGCAGUUCUGCGCGACAUUCUUAAAAAUUGAAAUUUAACAUGAUAAGCAGUCUAUUGAGUAUAAUAUUAUUUUUUUGGGAAUAUUAUGAGAGAGAGAAAAAUCAUUUGUUAUGAGAGAAUCAUUAUGAAAAUAAUAUUAUUUUUAUGAAAACAUUAUGAGAAUAAUAUUAUUUUUAUGAGAAUAUUAUGAGGGAGAAAAAAACUAUUUGUUAGGAGAGAAAGAGCAUGAGGAGAGAGAGAGAGAUAAAAAAUCAUUAAGAGAGAGAAUAAGGACUAACAUAUGGGAGGAGAGAAAAAGAGCAAUUGUGUUGGGCUAAUGAUGGGCCUAUGAUGGGUAUUUGUAAGUGAGGAUGAUCAAUCUUCAUUUGACAUAUGUCAAACAUGUGUCUUUUUUCUUACUUGCAUAUGUGUUACCUCAUGACACAUCAUUAUUUUAUAAUAAUACUUUAUGAGCCAUCAUGCUUUUAUAAUGUCACCUUAUGACACAUCACUAUCUUAUAAUAAUACUUUAUAACACAUCAUCCUCUUAUAAUGUCACCUUAUGGCACAUAACUUUAUAUUUAAUUAUCUUAAUUUAAUUAAAAUGAAAAGGGAAAGUUUAGGGUGGUUCCAUGGUGUAUUCAUAACAUAGUGAACUAUUAUUCAAAAUUAUAACUAUUUUAUAGUUUAUUAUUAUUAUUUUUAUUAUUUUUUAGUUCCAAAAAUAUUUGUGGUCAUCACACAUUAACUCUAUUUUUUACAAAAACGCAUAUCACAUUGUCUAUAAUAUUGUUUAGUGAUUGCUUGAAUUUUUUGUAAGAUUGGAUGCAGCUUAUUUGGCUAAUCCACUUGUCCAAAUUGUUGAUUUGUGGAUCCAUAUCAAUUUACCAUAUGACUAAUACAGGUCAUCGAUCUGAUGUUUCAAAUAUUCCUUCGCACCACUAUUCAUCUAUGAUCUACUAACCCCUGACAGAUUUAGAACUUCCAACCUAUCGCUCAAUCUUUAGAAAGCCAUAAAACACUCCACCUUCUACAUUGGCCUUAUGUAAAUGGUAAGCUGCAUCAAAUAAUUACAAAGGUAGUUUUGUUUCCCCCUCAUCUUUUUGGGAUGUUUUUGUUGGGACAUGUAAUUGUACUCUUUCAUGAGCAUAUAUUAUACAUUUAUUCCCUCGGUCGACAUGAGAUUUUGUUUUUUUUUUUUUUUGAAAUUUCUUGAUCUAAUUUUUAUAAUUAGGAUGUUAUAUUAUUGGAAAAAGUAUAUAUAAGGUUGCAACCUUAAAUGUAGAACUAAAGUUGCACCUCAAAAAUCGUUUAUAAAAUUAACCGGCAUAUGUAGAAAUGCGGGCCUCCUAAUAAACCUAGUUUUGAGAUGGAUUUCAAGACUUAAUUUUUAAGGGCAUGUGAUCUCUAACAUGAAGAUCAUGAAUAUGAAAAAAUAAAUAAAUUUUAAAACCUAAAAUUAAUAAUUCUAGCAUGAAAACAUUUGGGUUGUUAGUUUCUAUUGUUUUUAGAUGGAACACCUACUUGCAUCCAUCUUUAGGAUGGAUGUUUCACACUUUUUGGACCGCAUAUAUAGAAAUGUGGUUCAGCCUGCAUGAAACAAAAUUUUCCCUCUAAUUGAUCUUAUCGACAUCAAGAUGUAUGACUAUGAAAGAAGAAAAAUAUUUCGAGUCCACGAAAUAAUGUACCUUGCAACACAUUAUCUGGACUGUCCAUUUUCAAGAUUUUUAUGUGUUUGUAGAUCUACUUGAUUUGAACUAUUUUUAGAGUUUAAAAUUCUAUAACUAGAGAUGAAAAUAGAUUCUCAAGCUAUCCUAAGAAUUUUUUAUGUCAAAAUUACAUUUAUGAUAAAAUUUAGAGGUGCGCUUUAAUUGGAUUGUUUAAAGUUGCAACCUUAUACAAACUACACCCUAUAUUAUUAUAACAUUUAUCUUUAUCACAAAGAGGUUAAAUUACUCAUAGUCAUUAGAUGUUAAAUUGGAUGGCUUGGAGUAUGUCACAAAGUUCGAGAAUUUUCUUCUUAUUUUUUUAAACUUUAAGUUUAGUAAGCAAUAUGUUUAAAACCACUUGAGAGUUAAAAUCUAAAGAACAAGAGUGACUGUAACCUCCUUGUGCUAAAAGUAAAUUAUUUCAUUGUAUACUUUUCUUUUAGGGGAAAUUACAAAAAAACCCCAAGACUACGCUUUCUAUGCAACUUACCCCCAACCUAACUUAUUCUCACUUUUUUCCCCAAAACAAACUUUCUAUGCAAAUAUCCCGAAGGGAAAAAGUUCAUUUCUUUUAACGGAAAUGCCUUUCCUGUACAAAAAAAUCAAUUUGGCCAGAUUUGACGUUGACUAUCGACCCCAGUAGCACAUUGCCGGAGCAGACCAUCGCAUUGCCGGACCGAAAUUGAAUACUGUCGGAUCGCCCUUUAUAACUGUCGGAGCCCAGUGACUCAGAAGUUCUACUACCGGAUCACCUUUUGCAAUUGUCGGAGCGCUGUGACUCCAGGACAUGUACUGCCAGACCGCCCUUUGCAACUGUCGGUGCGUUGUGACUCCAGAACAUAUACUGUCGAACCGCACUUUACAACUGCUAGAGCGCUAUGAUUCCAAAACAUGUACUACUUGACUACGCUUUACAACUGCCAGAGCGUUGUGACUCCAGUACAUGUACUACCAGACCGCCCUUUACAACGGUCGGAGCAUUGUGACUCACGAAAGUUGUACUGCCAGUCCAACCUUUGCAACUGCCAACGUGCUGUGACUCCAGAACAUGUAUUAUUGAACCACCCUUUUCAAUUGCUGGAGCCCAAUGACUCCGAAGUUUUACUGCCAGACCGCCCUUUGCAACUGUUGGAGCGUUGUGACUCCAGAAAAUGUAUUGUCGGACCGCACUUUGAAAUUUUUGAAGCGAUGUGACUCCAGAACAUGUACUGUCAGACCGCCUUUUGCAACUGCUGGAGCGCUGUGACUCCAGGACAUGUACUGUCGGACCUCCCUUUUCAACUACUGAAGCGUUGUGACUCCAGAACAUGUACUAUCAGACUGCCCUUUGCAAUUGUCAGAGCGCUGUGACUCAGAAGUUUUACUGUUGGAUUGUCUUUUGCAACUGCCAUAGCGUUGUGAUUCCAAAACAUGUACUGUCGGACCGCCCUUUGCCACUGAUGGAGCCCAUUGACUCAAAAGUUCUACUGCCAGACCGUGCUUUGCAACUGCUGGAAUAAUGUGACUCCAAAACAUGUACUACUGGAGCACUGUGACUCUAGAACAUGUAUUGCCGGACCGCACUUACACAGUGCCGAAGCACUGUGAUUCCAGAAACUCUUUCUUCUGGACCACCCUCAUAGAUUACCAGACCCUUUUCUCUCUCUGUCCCUCAAUCUUUUUUUUUGUUUUUGCUUUUGGGUGGUGUUACAUGUUAGCUAAUAAUAAGAAGAACUGGAGUUACGUGUUGCUUUUAGGUGGUGGUGACAUUGUUUUUAAGUGGUGACAUUGUUUUUAAGUGCCAGAUGGAUUUGAUGUUGUUUUUAAGUGCCAGAUGGAUUUGAUGUCAGCUUCUUUUUCACAUUCCAGCUUCUUCAUCAUUUCUAUUUGAGGAAGGAAUAGAUUUAACCAUAACAAUUUUUCAUCGAUUACUACAUUUGAUUGGAGUUCUCCAUAGAAAAUACACUAAAUCAAUUUGUUAUCACUCAUUUUCUUUUGUCUUGCACAAGAUUUGUAAUAAUUUACACUCCACACAUUGAACUUGCCCAAGUUUGGUAGGCUCAACUAGGUCUUUUCAAAAGAGCUACAACUAAAUUUUAACAAGAGGUAUGUAGGCAUAUUGUUGGUGGUAUAUAACCUAAAAAAACAUUUCUAACAAUGCUUAUCUGAAAUUGCACUCGUAACAAUUUCACCCUGUUAAUGUCUAGAUUUUUUAGUAAAUUAUGAAAAAUAGUAUUGAAAUAAAGAGCCUCAAAAGAGGACCCAACUUUUAAGAUGAACAUGCAAUUCAAUAUUUCUACAAAGUAAGAACUAGUUCAUAUCCAAGUUAAACUAGCACAAUGCCUUUCUUUUGCGAAAUGAAACAAAACUAAAUGACUUUGUAGACCUGAAUUCGAAUGCAUUUGAAAUUGGAUAAAAACCUUAUCCUAAAUUUCUAGUAUAUAAAUAAUACUAUUUAUCUAAGCUAUAGCUAAGCAAUACCAUUUCUCUAAGCUAAAGUUCAAUCUAACAAUGUAGAUAAGCACAAUAUAUACAACUAGCAAUAUAGACAUUCCUAAAGUCAGUUUUUUGGGUUUGUCUUUUGUUUUAAAGAACUACUACUAAAAUUAGCAAGAGCUAGGCAUUUUUUUUUUUUUAAUGAUAAACUAAAUUUGAACAAGAGAAAAAGGAUGGAUCAUCAAAUAAAAAACAAUUGAUGCAAAGAUAACCAUGAGAAAAUAGAUACAGUAAAAUAAACCCAAAAUUUACUACAACCAAGAACAUUCAAGCCCUAAAAUCACAAUAGAGAAACAAUGACACACUCCAUAACAAUUUAAUAAGAAAAACUACAAUAAUUCUUAAGCCAUGAGCAAUCAAUUGAGAUCAAAUAACUGAAUGAUUUUCAAUCUAAAAAGAACCCAAAAUUUCCUACCACCAAGGACAUUCUAGCCUAAAAAUGACAAUAGAAAAUAGAGAAAAAAAACCAAACUCCAUAACAAAUUCAAAAGGAAAAUUUCAAUAAUUCUUAUGCCAUGAGCAAUCAAUUUAGAUCAAACGAUUGAAUGAUUUUCAAUCUAAAAAAAACCCAAAAUUUCCUACCACCAAGAUCAUUCUAACCCUAAAAUGACAACAGAGAAAAAAUGCCAAACUCCAUAACAAAUUCAUAAGAAAAACUUCAAUAAUUCUUAAGUCAAGAGCAAUCCAUCUCUUCAUUGUCAAUGAUAGAUCAAAUACAACAAAUUUCAACAAACAAUAACCCAACAACAGAUUUUAGCGAUUUUAUUCCAUAAAUAUGCUAUAUAUUUAUUUAAUAAAAAAUAGUUAAAAAACUCUUUCAUACUUUUGAUGGGGCUGAUUUAGGGCAGAGAGAUUGAGCUAAAAAUCGUGCUUGGGCUUGGGCUGGGGCAAAGAAAUUGAGAACUUGAGCCGUUUCACAAAGAGAGAGAGGGUGGGCCUUCAGUCCUUUGAAGAGGGAGAGGAAGAGAGCUCGGGCCGAGAGAGAGAGUGAGAGAGAGGGAGGUCUGGCCAGGAGAGAGAGCGAGAGACAGGGAAGAAGCUCGUUCUGAG